GCUUGUCUCAAAGAUUAAGCCAUGCAUGUCCAAGUAUAAACCUUUAUACGGUGAAACUGCGAAUGGCUCAUUAUAUCAGUUAUAAUUUAUUUGAAAGUCUCUUUACUAAUUGGAUAACCGUGGUAAUUCUAGAGCUAAUACAUGCAAAGGGCCCGACUUCUGGAAGGGUUGUAUUUAUUAGACUUAAGCCAAUAUUCCUUGUGUCUAUUGCGAUGAUUCAUAAUAACUGAUCGAAUCUCAAAUUUGAGAUAAAUCAUUCAAGUUUCUGCCCUAUCAGCUUUCGAUGGUAGUGUAUUGGACUACCAUGGCAGUAACGGGUAACGAAGAAUUAGGGUUCGAUUUCGGAGAGGGAGCAUGAGAAACGGCUACCACAUCUAAGGAAGGCAGCAGG
This 391-nucleotide ribosomal RNA is filed under the name uncultured Scuticociliatia. RNAcentral's name for it is "partial small subunit ribosomal RNA". It matches the Rfam family "Eukaryotic small subunit ribosomal RNA", at positions 30 to 432 of the family's 1831-position model. Lineage: Eukaryota; Ciliophora; Oligohymenophorea. The record is from RNAcentral.